RNAcentral lists this long non-coding RNA (486 nucleotides) under Gopherus agassizii (Agassiz's desert tortoise). RNAcentral's name for it is "lncRNA (ENSGAGG00000011638.1)". The record is from RNAcentral. Lineage: Eukaryota; Metazoa; Chordata; Testudines; Testudinidae.
CCCCCUCCCCCGAGUAGGGAGCCUGGCACCCAAGCUGCUCUGGCAGCAUUUUCUGCGGUUGCUUCCAGGACUGGAUCUCAGAGCAAUUAACACAGCUCUUUGAGCCCGUGAGCUGCACCUACAUCUACCUGCUUGCAGACCUGAAGACCUAGGAGGCGGUUCUGAUCGACCCGGUUCUGGAGACAGCCAAGCGGGACGCGGAGCUGGUGAAGGAGCUGGGCCUCAACUUACUGUAUGCAGCCAACACCCACUGCCACGCCGACCACGUCACGGGCACCGGGCUGCUGAAGAAGAUGCUGCCAGGCUGCCGCAGCGUGAUCUCCCAGGACAGCGGGGCCUUGGCCGACAUCCUCAUCCGCGAGGGCCACGCCCUGGAAUUCGGGGCCUUCAUAUCGCUGUCCCGGCAAACCUGAAGUGCGGGAUCCAGGAUGUGGAGACUUAGCCCCACCCUCUUUACUCCAAGGCCACACCCCUCACAACAAGCCC